RNAcentral lists this long non-coding RNA (227 nucleotides) under Elaeis guineensis (African oil palm). RNAcentral describes it as "long non-coding RNA (EGUI_LNC025682)". Lineage: Eukaryota; Viridiplantae; Streptophyta; Magnoliopsida; Arecales; Arecaceae. The record is from RNAcentral.
GGCUUUUAUCCAGUUCUCUUCUAGUUCCAUUCAAUCUCUCUCUCUCUUGCUCUUUCACUCUUUUUCACCCAUGUUCUCAAGAUUUGAACUGACUUAAGCAUCGAAGGGUCAAGAACUAGAGGAUUUCCAUCCGAUUUCUUGACUGAUUUGACAAAUUGGAGGAAUUCUCGCCAGGUCGCAAGGCUUACUCCAGCCCAGUCUCACUCUUGUUAAUCCAAUCUACUCCA